UUCCGGUUGAUCCCGCCGGACCUGACUGCUAUCGGAUUGAUACUAAGCCAUGCGAGUCUUUGUAGUAAUACAAGGCAUACGGCUCAGUAACGCGUAGUCAACCUACCCUAUGGACAAGAAUAAUCUCGGGAAACUGAGCAUAAUUCUUGAUAGAUCAUAAUGCCUGGAAUGGUAUAUGGUUAAAAUGAUUCGUCGCCAUAGGAUGGGACUGCGGCCUAUCAGCUUGUUGGUGAGGUAAUGGCCCACCAAGGCGAUAACAGGUACGGGCUCUGAGAGGAGAAGCCCGGAGAUGGGUACUGAGACAAGGACCCAGGCCCUAUGGGGCGCAGCAGGCGAGAAAACUUUGCAAUGUGCGAAAGCACGACAAGGUUAGUCCGAGUGAUUUCUGCUAAAGAGAUCUUUUGCUAGUUAUAAAACCACUAGUGAAUAAGGGGUGGGCAAGUUCUGGUGUCAGCCGCCGCGGUAAAACCAGCACCUCAAGUGGUCAGGAUGAUUAUUGGGCCUAAAGCAUCCGUAGCCGGCUCUGUAAGUUUUCGGUUAAAUCUAUACGCUCAACGUAUGGGCUGCCGAAAAUACUGCAGAGAUAGGGAGUGGGAGAGGUAGACGGUACUCGGUAGGAAGGGGUAAAAUCCUUUGAUCUAUCGAUGACCACCUGUGGCGAAGGCGGUCUACCAGAACACGUUCGACGGUGAGGGAUGAAAGCUGGGGGAGCAAACCGGAUUAGAUACCCGGGUAGUCCCAGCUGUAAACGAUGCAGACUCGAUGAUGCAUUGGCAUAUAGCCAGUGCAGUGUCGCAGGGAAGCCGUUAAGUCUGCCGCCUGGGAAGUACGUACGCAAGUAUGAAACUUAAAGGAAUUGGCGGGGGAGCACCACAAGGGGUGAAGCCUGCGGUUCAAUUGGAUUCAACGCCGGG
This 914-nucleotide ribosomal RNA is filed under the name uncultured marine archaeon. RNAcentral describes it as "bacterial SSU rRNA". It matches the Rfam family "Archaeal small subunit ribosomal RNA", at positions 1 to 922 of the family's 1478-position model. The record is from RNAcentral.